Lolium rigidum is the source of this 2256-nucleotide long non-coding RNA. RefSeq lists it as uncharacterized. The transcript is spliced from 5 exons. The record is from RefSeq and is a predicted model, not a curated record. NCBI's taxonomy places the organism in Eukaryota, Viridiplantae, Streptophyta, Magnoliopsida, Poales, Poaceae.
AUCUAGCUUUUGCAUUUGGUUUAUGGAAAUGCUAAAAUAAGAAAGCUAGAAGAGUUUAUGUUUCUCAUCUCACUUUUAUUUUAGUGCUGGAAUCAGCCUUUGGGAUUAUUUUGUCCUCCAAAAGAUAUAUGAGGCAAUCAAGUUUUUUUCCUGGCAGAGGUAACGACAUCUGUGUGUUCGAUCUUUUGGCAUGUAGUGUGGCACCUAGGACCUGGAUAUCAAUGGCGACGAGGAGCAGGUGUUGGCCGUCGCUUGUCUGGUAGUGAGACACAUGUGUCUUGUACAAAUGUAAAUGCCUCCUUCCUCGCUCUGCAUUCAUGUUGGUUUUUCUUCCUGAAUCAUUUUCCUAUCAAUGUUAUUUUGGCACCACCAAAAUGCUCACCUAGCAUUUUCUAUGAAGUUCUAAAUGUGUUUUACCUUGGGGGUACAGGGAUGUUGAACUCGCUAGCUAGAAGCAUUUGGGUAGGUUGGUGCCUAAGGAUCCCUGUUGAACACAAAAGUAUCCAAAGAUAAUUAGAGUGAGAACCUAUCAAUUUUGUUGCUUCAUUAUCAUUAUACAUGCCCACUUGAAAUAUUGUGAUAUAUCAAGGUGUCCUUUUCAGUUUAACUUUAUAUGUCCACUUAAUUUAUAUUUUUGGUAUUUAUCAGACCAUAAGUCUGUAGUGCAACCAACAUCUUGGUGAUAAAAGGCCCAAAUUAUAAUUAAGACAUACUUUUGUUGUCUGUGGCACUAGGCAUUGAGGAAAAACAGCCUACAGUUUCUAAUGGUGUACCAGUUAACAUUGUUUAAGUUUUUUGGGAACAAAAACAUGGCCACCAUCAUGACAAACCUGGGUGUAAGGCAAAUUAGUAAUACUAAAGCUGGUUUUUAAAAGACAAGUUUGUCUCUUUUUUGGAAUACUGUGCAGUUUUAUGAACACACCCAGGAACAAGAAAAUGAGUGAUCUGUUAAUUUAUUUUACUGCAGUAGCCUAAAUAUCUUUUUACAAUAUUCAGCAAGCAUGUCCAUGCUAAAUUGGAAAUUUGCUCCAUAAUACCUCGAACUCUCAUUUCGGAUAAAAAUUAAAUCCGAGAUGUGCGUAAAUACUCACUAUAGCCUUCUUCGGAUGUUUACUGUUUGCUUUGGUGUACACUCAGAAAUUUAGGCUUCAUCUCAUACGGUUAAUAGGCACAUUACUGGUUAUUCUGUUUUAGGGAAGUCUAUGUUGAAAUGUUUCAACGUAAAGUACAAUACAUCAAUCAUAGUUUUUAAUGUUCUCUGCAUUAAUUUAUGUUUCUUGCAAUAUUGUUGGAUUUUUCCCUUAUGAACAUAAUACAAGUGCCUUGAAGUCUUUGACAGCUAUUCAUGGAAGGUUGCGAAAGUGGUGAGAUUGCUUGGUCAAGAGUACUAUCUCAUCAGGCUCCUUGGAUCCUCCCAAGAAUUGAGGGUACACACAUCCAAUCUUAGGACAAGGCCCGCAGCUUUGGCAUGACAACAUUUGGGUUGCUAUUCCAAAGGAUCUCGUGAGGACUGAUCUCUGCCCUGCGGAGGCUGUAGUAUUUGUUCUGAGUGGUUACAGCAAUGGGCGGUUUUAUGGAGCAAGAAGUAUCGGUUGAUAUUCCAGGGGUGGUGGAGCGUUCAAAGAAGAUUGUCUCUAGAUUGAAAAGACCCUGCAAACAACGAGCCUUGAUCUACUAUUUGUCAACGCUUUCUCAUCGUUGGCAACUUGUGGUUUAUGCUGGAUCUGAGAAAAUAGAUACCAAGGGACUGGCAAGAUUAUAUACAUGAACUGGGUGUAGCCAUGGCAAAUUGUGAGUGAGGAGGUUUAUCUUCAUGGAAGCCCGGGAUACAUAUAGAUCAGCGCAUUAUUGAUACAUAAUUCGGUUCACUGAACUGAGGUCCAGCAAGUCGCACCUCCUCCAGAAAAUGGUCCUUCUUUAGGCUGAAUGCAUAACCCUUCAGUAUUCUUCUUACAUUACAUGCAUUGGAAGUAACACUCCUCUGAAGUCUGAAGUAAACAAUUUAAAUCCUUAGAAUUAAUAGAGUAAUCUAAAUCGUGCAUGCAGAUUGCCUAAUACCAUUUAUUGUUCAUCAAACAAGAAGUUGUAGGAUUAUGGUAUGAGAGGUGACUGCCGAUCAAGCCAACGACCAUGGAGACACAUAUAUUUAGCAAAUCCAAAGUACGCUUCACAAAGCAAAAAAUGUAAAUUUUAUAUUUACCUUUUACGUGUAAUCAUACAAUUGAUAUACACAAAAUUGUUUUUUGAAGAGGCCAA